Molecule: transfer RNA, 75 nt
Filed under: Pseudomonadota bacterium
Lineage: Bacteria; Pseudomonadati; Pseudomonadota
Description: Proteobacteria bacterium (activated sludge metagenome) tRNA-Asn
Rfam family: tRNA
About the family: Transfer RNA (tRNA) molecules are approximately 80 nucleotides in length. Their secondary structure includes four short double-helical elements and three loops (D, anti-codon, and T loops). Further hydrogen bonds mediate the characteristic L-shaped molecular structure. tRNAs have two regions of fundamental functional importance: the anti-codon, which is responsible for specific mRNA codon recognition, and the 3' end, to which the tRNAs corresponding amino acid is attached (by aminoacyl-tRNA synthetases). tRNAs cope with the degeneracy of the genetic code in two manners: having more than one tRNA (with a specific anti-codon) for a particular amino acid; and 'wobble' base-pairing, i.e. permitting non-standard base-pairing at the 3rd anti-codon position.
Source: RNAcentral
UCCCCGAUAGCUCAGCGGUAGAGCAAGUGACUGUUAAUCACUGGGUCCGUGGUUCGAAUCCGCGUCGGGGAGCCA